This 253-nucleotide ribosomal RNA is filed under the name uncultured bacterium. RNAcentral describes it as "partial 16S ribosomal RNA". It matches the Rfam family "Bacterial small subunit ribosomal RNA", at positions 524 to 776 of the family's 1533-position model. The record is from RNAcentral.
GACGAACCGUGCGAACGUUGUUCGGAUUCACUGGGCAUAAAGGGCGCGUAGGCGGAUGGUCAAGUCGGGGGUGAAAUCUUUCAGCUUAACUGGAAAAGUGCCUCCGAUACUGAUCGUCUCGAGGGAGGUAGGGGCAUGUGGAACCUCCGGUGGAGCGGUGAAAUGCGUAGAUAUCGGAAGGAACGCCGGUGGCGAAAGCGACGUGCUGGACCUCUUCUGACGCUGAGGCGCGAAAGCUAGGGGAGCAAACGGG